UACGUAGGCAGCGAGCGUUGUUCGGAGUUACUGGGCGUAAAGGGUGUGUAGGCGGUUGUUUAAGUUUGGUGUGAAAUCUCCCGGCUCAACUGGGAGGGUGCGCCGAAUACUGAAUGACUUGGAGUGCGGGAGAGGAAAGUGGAAUUCCUGGUGUAGCGGUGAAAUGCGUAGAUAUCAGGAGGAACACCGGUGGUGUAGACGGCUUUCUGGACCGUAACUGACGCUGAGACACGAAAGCGUGGGUGGCAAACAGG
Molecule: ribosomal RNA, 254 nt
Filed under: uncultured bacterium
Lineage: Bacteria
Description: partial 16S ribosomal RNA
Rfam family: Bacterial small subunit ribosomal RNA
Source: RNAcentral